Epinephelus moara (kelp grouper) is the source of this 223-nucleotide long non-coding RNA. RefSeq lists it as uncharacterized. NCBI's taxonomy places the organism in Eukaryota, Metazoa, Chordata, Actinopteri, Perciformes, Serranidae. The transcript has 3 exons. The record is from RefSeq and is a predicted model, not a curated record.
GGAGACUCUUAAAGACUGGAAACGGGGAAACAGUUGGCCUGGCUCCAUCCAAAGAGGACGGAGAGACUUACUGGGUACGGCUGAACAACGCUCAACAAUAUGGACUCCUUGCAGCUCCUGAGGAUUUCAUCUGCUUCGGGGGAAUGUGUUGAUAAUGGCCAUGGAUCGGAUGAGUCACUGUUGUAUUAGAGCUCGCUGUACAGCUGGGGCUCCUUACCUGGUG